Molecule: non-coding RNA, 106 nt
Organism: Claviceps digitariae
Lineage: Eukaryota; Fungi; Ascomycota; Sordariomycetes; Hypocreales; Clavicipitaceae
Source: the annotation of a GenBank genome assembly
GGCACUUUGGCCGAGUGGUCUAAGGCGCCGUGUUCAGGUGUACUUGCAUAGCGAGUUCCUCUUCGCGGUCUAGUAAUAGGCGAGGGUUCGAAUCCCUCAGGUGUCA